Thunnus maccoyii (southern bluefin tuna) is the source of this 760-nucleotide long non-coding RNA. RefSeq lists it as uncharacterized. Lineage: Eukaryota; Metazoa; Chordata; Actinopteri; Scombriformes; Scombridae. The record is from RefSeq and is a predicted model, not a curated record. The transcript is spliced from 4 exons.
UACAAAGCGGUAUGGAUACUGUGACGCAACAGGUUUCCCCAAGUUGUUUAAGUUGGUUAUAAAGUUGUGAAAAGGGUUUGUAUCGUAACCCCCACAAGGUACAAGAUAACGACGUUAUGAUACAUUUAAGAAAUGCGACGAAUUUAAGGAUGUUUUCCUUCUUCUGCAACAAGCAGUCAGUGAGAGGUCGUAAGAGAUGAAUAUGGGGAUGAGAGAGGCAGCCAUGCAGCCAGAGGGAGUGCAUCUUUGCCAGCAGUAUUUAGCUGAACUUCUGCAAGUGAGGAUAUCAGUCGGCUACAGUAGCGUCACAAAAGGAGUCAUUGCAGGCAUAUAUUUAUUUGAUUGUUUGCAAAAAUCACCUUUCAUGAAUUCAGGCCCCUUCCCCUCAAACAUCCUCUGCAUGUCCCUGUGGGGGAUAAUUAUUUGGCCAGAUGGAGAGAGUCAGGUUGGGAAUUCCCCAGAACACUGUGGAAUCCCCCUACUCUUUGCGAUAAGUGCCAUUGGACCUUAAAUGACCACAGUGAGUCAGGACUUCGGUUUAACGUCUCAUCCAAAGGACGGCAUCUCCUACAGCACAGUGUCCCUAUCACUGCAUUGGGGCAUUCGGAGUAAUUAGGACCAGAGGGAAGACUGCCCUCUACUGGCCCACCAACACCACUAAUCCACACAGCAGCUCCUGGCGUCUGAGGUGUAGUCACUGCAGAUUUUGGUCUCAUCCAUGAUGUGUUCAUGGAUCUUUGCUGAAUGUUUUCAAAACUAU